Molecule: ribosomal RNA, 253 nt
Filed under: uncultured bacterium
Lineage: Bacteria
Description: partial 16S ribosomal RNA
Rfam family: Bacterial small subunit ribosomal RNA
Source: RNAcentral
UACAGAGGGUGCGAGCGUUAAUCGGAAUUACUGGGCGUAAAGCGUGCGUAGACGGUUUCGUAAGUCGGGUGUGAAAUCCCCGGGCUCAACCUGGGAAUUGCAUUCGAAACUGCGAGGCUAGGGUACGGAAGAGGGAAGCGGAAUUUCUGGUGUAGCAGUGAAAUGCGUAGAUAUGUGGAGGAACACCGAUGGCGAAGGCAGCCCCCUGGGUCAAGACUGACGCUCAUGCACGAAAGCGUGGGGAGCAAACAGG